GAUGUAGGCUUUGCCUACCAUCUCUUACCCAUGUCUUUUGAGUACCUUCGUUUCCUCGGCGGGUCCGCCCGCCGAUUGGACAAACUUAAACCCUUUGUAAUUGAAAUCAGCGUCUGAAAAAACAUAAUAGUUACAACUUUCAACAACGGAUCUCUUGGUUCUGGCAUCGAUGAAGAACGCAGCGAAAUGCGAUAAGUAGUGUGAAUUGCAGAAUUCAGUGAAUCAUCGAAUCUUUGAACGCACAUUGCGCCCCUUGGUAUUCCAUGGGGCAUGCCUGUUCGAGCGUCAUUUGUACCUUCAAGCUCUGCUUGGUGUUGGGUGUUUGUCUCGCCUUUGCGUGUAGACUCGCCUUAAAACAAUUGGCAGCCGGCGUAUUGAUUUCGGAGCGCAGUACAUCUCGCGCUUUGCACUCAUAACGACGACGUCCAAAAAGUACUUUUUACACUCGGCGAGUGAAGCGGCAACAGCUCAAAUUUGAAAUCNGGCGUCUUUGGCGUCCGAGUUGUAAUUUGCAGAGGGCGCUUUGGCAUUGGCAGCGGUCCAAGUUCCUUGGAACAGGACGUCACAGAGGGUGAGAAUCCCGUACGUGGUCGCUAGCCUCUACCGUGUAAAGCCCCUUCGACGAGUCGAGUUGUUUGGGAAUGCAGCUCUAAAUGGGAGGUAAAUUUCUUCUAAAGCUAAAUACUGGCCAGAGACCGAUAGCGCACAAGUAGAGUGAUCGAAAGAUGAAAAGCACUUUGGAAAGAGAGUUAAAAAGCACGUGAAAUUGUUGAAAGGGAAGCGCUUGCAGCCAGACUUGCCUGUAGUUGCUCAUCCGGGUUUUUACCCGGUGCACUCUUCUAUAGGCAGGCCAGCAUCAGUUUGGGCGGUUGGAUAAAGGUCUCUGUCACGUACCUCCUCUCGGGGAGAACUUAUAGGGGAGACGUAAUGCAACCAGCCUGGACUGAGGUCCGCGCAUCUGCUAGGAUGCUGGCGUAAUGGCUGUAAGCGGCCCGUCUUGAAACACGGACCAAGGAGUCUAACAUCUAUGCGAGUGUUUGGGUGUCAAGCCCGAGCGCGUAAUGAAAGUGAACGGAGGUGGGAACCUUUCGGGGUGCACCAUCGACCGAUCCUGAUGUCUUCGGAUGGAUUUGAGUAAGAGCAUA
Molecule: small RNA, 1145 nt
Filed under: Pleosporales sp. 2 MU-2012
Lineage: Eukaryota; Fungi; Ascomycota; Dothideomycetes; Pleosporales
Description: eukaryotic LSU rRNA
Rfam family: Eukaryotic large subunit ribosomal RNA (bases 376-1145)
Source: RNAcentral